RNAcentral lists this long non-coding RNA (313 nucleotides) under Erythranthe guttata (spotted monkey flower). RNAcentral describes it as "long non-coding RNA (EGUT_LNC000076)". The record is from RNAcentral. Lineage: Eukaryota; Viridiplantae; Streptophyta; Magnoliopsida; Lamiales; Phrymaceae.
ACGGAGGAAUAAGAAAAUUUUCUACUUAAAUUGGAAGUUGCAACAGAUCAAAAUAGAAAGGAAUUCUAAAACAAUCCUAGAAACAGAAUUCUCUUAGACUUAUUAAGGUCAUAGGUUUUUGUAUAGAAUAGCAAAACAAAAAUAAAAUUAUUAAAAUUAUACCAUUAUUAUGAUAUUACAUAUUAGAAUUUGAGAAAAAUAAAAAGAUUCGGUAUUUGGUAGAUAAAGACAAAAAAAUAUGAUAGAAUCCAUUUUUGAGCACUUAACCGCCUUUAUGUUAGGGAUUUCGUUGUUCAAUCAAAAAACAAUUUGC